CUGUGACAUUGUAAUAACUGGACAAGAACAUCUGUGCAAGGAUGACGACAUUACAUGCAAUGCUACUGAUGCUGUUUGUUGCAUCAGUCUUUUCAAAAGCAUUUCAUUUGCGCAGAAGAUUUGAUUCAUCAGACUCUGUGCGAUCUAGAUUCAGUUCAGAGGAAAAUGAUUCAAGCAGAGAAGACAGGGAGGAUUCACAGUCGGAUGAGAAAUCUGAAUCAAACGGGUCUAAAUCAAGUGAUUCUGACUCUUCGGAGGAAGAUAUCAGAGUUGUGUCAAGCACAUUCCCUCCAGCUAGCACAACAAGUCCAUCGACCGCUGGCAAGACAACAGCAACCCCAUCAACUACCACGACACAAGACAUCACAAACUGUGUUACUGUGGAUCUGACACCUAAGAAGGGGUCAUAAUGAUAAUGUCAAUAUAAUACCUUGCACUAAUACUGUUUAAUCAUCUUUUCAUGCAAAACAAACAAAAGCUGAAUGGUGUACAAUUCACUGGAGCUUACAGU
This is a long non-coding RNA of Sinocyclocheilus grahami, 511 nucleotides long. RefSeq lists it as uncharacterized. The transcript is spliced from 3 exons. The record is from RefSeq and is a predicted model, not a curated record. Lineage: Eukaryota; Metazoa; Chordata; Actinopteri; Cypriniformes; Cyprinidae.